GUGCUUAACACAUGCAAGUCGAGCGGUAAGGCCCUUCGGGGUACACGAGCGGCGAACGGGUGAGUAACACGUGGGUGACCUGCCCUCAGCUCUGGGAUAAGCCUGGGAAACCGGGUCUAAUACCGGAUACGACUACCGGAUGCAUGUCUGGUGGUGGAAAGUUUUUUCGGCUGGGGAUGGGCCCGCGGCCUAUCAGCUUGUUGGUGGGGUGAUGGCCUACCAAGGCGGUGACGGGUAGCCGGCCUGAGAGGGCGACCGGCCACACUGGGACUGAGACACGGCCCAGACUCCUACGGGAGGCAGCAGUGGGGAAUAUUGCGCAAUGGGCGGAAGCCUGACGCAGCGACGCCGCGUGGGGGAUGACGGCCUUCGGGUUGUAAACCUCUUUCGCCAGGGACGAAGCUUUUGUGACGGUACCUGGAGAAGAAGC
This 430-nucleotide ribosomal RNA is filed under the name Pseudonocardiaceae bacterium Ellin5132. RNAcentral's name for it is "bacterial SSU rRNA". It matches the Rfam family "Bacterial small subunit ribosomal RNA", at positions 44 to 491 of the family's 1533-position model. The record is from RNAcentral. Lineage: Bacteria; Bacillati; Actinomycetota; Actinomycetes; Pseudonocardiales; Pseudonocardiaceae.